CCCCUAGUAUAAUCCAACAUUCAGAGUCUUGGUAUAUCAAUCGCACCCCCUUGGAAAAGAUUUUCGAAAUCCUCCUCACGAAAUCAGAUCGCCCUCUAUUACCCAAUGGACUUGGUAUAUAAAUUCAUGCACCCCCGUGAUAAAAUUAAUCAGUCACGCCUAUAAGGCAAGACAAUAAUUUAUUAUCACAUAACUUGGUACAAAUUACUAUAAUUCAAACGUCUCAUAAACUUGUAUACUGAUUCAUAAAAUAUAUUAUAUCAAGUCAUACAUUAAGUUACGUGGUACGUCAUAGAGUAAUGUCAUGUAUUGCGUUAACUAAUUAUUUAUUUGUUAUUUGUGUUACAGGUCGCAGUUCCUCCAACGUCGUUGCCCAGACUCCCCCUGAAGUCCAGGGGGUCAUAACUGCGGUGGCAGCAUCACUGAGUACCUGAAACAUGAGGAAAACUAA
RNAcentral lists this unclassified non-coding RNA (451 nucleotides) under Athalia rosae (coleseed sawfly). Its description in RNAcentral is "misc RNA ENSAEAG00005007939.1". Lineage: Eukaryota; Metazoa; Arthropoda; Insecta; Hymenoptera; Athaliidae. The record is from RNAcentral.